Patiria miniata (bat star) is the source of this 137-nucleotide long non-coding RNA. RefSeq lists it as uncharacterized. The transcript is spliced from 2 exons. The record is from RefSeq and is a predicted model, not a curated record. NCBI's taxonomy places the organism in Eukaryota, Metazoa, Echinodermata, Asteroidea, Valvatida, Asterinidae.
UAUAAAAUACAACAGAGCACAGGUGCCAAUGGAUUAAUGCCUAGUUUGACAGCAAAAUGUCCUUGGGGAAAAAAGUGUACCCACUGAAAUGUGCUCAUACUCGUAGAAAGUACUGGUAAUUUUAGUCGUGGAAAUGU